UUAAUACAAUAAAUUUUUCAUUAUGAACACAAAUCAAUUACAUUGUCAAUAAAAAUGUUGAUGAUAGUACAUAUCAAUGCACGUACAUAACUGUUGUGUUCACACUUUAUUCCAUACAUAAGUGUAUUAUAUAAGUAAAUAAAUAUAUGCAGCUUAAUUUAUUCCUUCAACUGCAUUGUUCCUUCAACAUUCUUUCCCCAUUAACUAACCAUGUCACAUUUUAGUGGAACAAGGCAAAGAAGGACAAGACUGAGGCACCAACCAAGGAGCCGACAGCGGCCGCGGCUGAGGCACCGCUGCUAGGGCCAGGGGCGGGCGCAGGGACCUCUGUGGCAGCCAGUGCUGCACUCAUGGAGGCGGCAGCGAUGAGAACGGCACAGGUAACCUUCUUCAUGUCCAUGAUGGAUAGUGAAUUUUUUUUUUUUUGGAUAUAUAAGUGGAGAGACCCGCUAGGUUUGUGGAGAAAGAAGCUGUUUUAUUUGCUGUUUAUUUUUUUUUUCUUUUGUUGCAGGUCUGAAGAAGAUUGGGGGGUUGGAAAGGGAUAUAUAGGGUAGGGGUUGGAGCUAUUUGGGGUAAGGGACUAUUUUUUUUGGCUGUGAAAGGGUCAUGCAUGUGUGGUUUUGCAAGGUUUUAGGGUUGGCUUAUAAGGUUUGUGACAAGUGUUGGUUGGACUAGGAAUAUGUGUGGCACAGAAAUUUUGUAUCUACAGGUUGCUAUGUUGGUG
This 724-nucleotide long non-coding RNA is filed under the name Glycine max (soybean). RNAcentral describes it as "long non-coding RNA (GMAX_LNC002188)". Lineage: Eukaryota; Viridiplantae; Streptophyta; Magnoliopsida; Fabales; Fabaceae. The record is from RNAcentral.